Molecule: RNA transcript, 5101 nt
Organism: Brienomyrus brachyistius
Lineage: Eukaryota; Metazoa; Chordata; Actinopteri; Osteoglossiformes; Mormyridae
Gene name: alpha-2-macroglobulin-like
Exons: 31
Source: RefSeq, a predicted model, not a curated record
CAAUAGCUAAACUGCUCUAGAAAAAAGGCAGGACAAAGGCAAGCUAGACUUUGGUAUAUAACCUUGGUAUGAAGAUUGCAUCAAACUGCCUGAUUGAUUGUUGGCCAUUAUAGGAUUUUUAGCUUUGCAAGUAGUGGCUUUAUUGCGCAUAUUAGAUAAUUUUUCCUCAGGAGUUAAAUUAUCAACACUAGAGGGCUGGCAAAUCUCUCUGUCCCACCCCACUAAGAGGGCGGGCUAUAUAGUCCUGUUGGGACCACGGAUUUGGGUUUACGGACUUUGCCUUGGGAGACGUAAAGCCUCUUUCAUAAUGUGGAGAAGAAUAUUCACAGCCUGCGUCCUGUUCUGUGCCUGCCAAGCACAAACUGACCCUUCCUUCCUGGUGACGUUUCCGGGGGUAAUUCCGACCGGCUCCAACACGAAGUUCUGUGCCCUCUUGCUUCAUGUCCAUGAAAUGCUCCAUCUCACUGUGUCGCUGGUGGACGGGAACCAGACCACAGUCCUGCAGGAGGUGCAUUCAGACAAAGACAUCUACCAGUGCUCUAAUUUUCAGCCCCCCAAAGUGAGUGUGGAGUCCAUCCAAGUAAUUAGGGUGGAGUUACGUGGGCAGGACCUUCAACUGGUGAAGGAGACCAGUGUCCGGAUAAAACCAGCUACGCCAAUAUCGUUCAUUCAGACGGACAAACCCAUUUACAAGCCCGGGCAGACUGUGCAUUUCAGGAUCGUCAGCCUGGACACAGCGUUUGCCCCUGUAGAUCAGCUGUAUGACGUGGUGCAGCUGGAGGACCCUAAAUUCAACCGCAUUGCCCAGUGGACCAAUGUCAGGACCAACCAGAAGAUCCUGCAGCUUUCGCACCCUUUGAGUUCAGAGGCUCCGCUGGGUGGCUACGUGCUAAGGACCUUCUCCGGACAACACCGGAGCCAUUACAAAUUCAAAGUCAUGGAGUAUGUUUUGCCACGGUUUGAGGUAUCCCUGAAGGUCCCGUCAAAGGUCUACAUCCUGGAAAGCCAGCUGAAGGUUUCCGUGUGUGGAAGGUACACGUACGGCCAAGCAGUGCCGGGAAAGGCGAGCUUUGAACUGUGUCUGAGCUGCUCCCCGAGGGAUGUUUGCUGCCGUCGCGCUGAAUCUGUACAGCUAGAGAAAUCAGGCUGCGCCUCCCACAUCUUUGACAUGUUCUUCUUCUAUAACUCCACCGCCAUGGGUGUGGAAACGCUGACGUUUAAUGGCACAGUGGAGGAGGAAGAAACAGGUGUCAUUCUGGCAAAGAACACCCCCGUAGACAUCGUGAAAAGGAUUGGAUCUGUUUCCUUUGUCGACACGCCUGCAUUUUAUGAGCCUGGAUCAACCAUUGAGGGGAAGAUCAAAGUGACAUAUUACAAUGACACGCCAGUAGCCAGUGCUGAGCUCCAGCUCUUUCAGGGAUACUGGUAUAACAGGGUGCCAUUCCUUAAUGGUACUACUAACGCAGAUGGCAUAUUUUCAUUCUCCAUCAAUACGACAAUGUUCACUGGAUCGCGCGUAAAUUUGAUGGCCAUGUGCAAGUCCCUUCUGGUUCCUGGCUUCGGGCUUCUGUACGGGACUUUCAAUGAGCCCAUGCAAACCCUCUCAGCUAUUCAGCCCGAAGCGCCCGACAGACAGACAUACAGCUCAUUAUCUCUGAAGAGCAUUGAAAAGCCGCUGAGAUGUGGAAGCUCUGUGCCUAUCGUUGUAAAGUACACUCUGGUUGGGGAGACACCGAACGCAGGCCCAUUACAUAUAUAUUACCUGGUUCUGUCCAAAGGUUCCAUCGCCCGUGCUGGUCAGAUGGCAGUUCCGUGGUCAGAAGGCUUAUACACCGAGGGCAAGACCUCCUUUCUGCUGGAGGCCAUUGAAGAGCUUCCUCCAAUAGCCCAGGUUCUUGUCUACAUGGUGCUGCCCAGUGGGGGUGUGAUUGGAAAUAACAUGGACUUCUCCGUAGAAAAGUGCUUGAAGCACAAGGUGUCCAUGGAGUUCACACCCAGCCGAGCUGUACCAGGGGAGAACGUGGAGCUGAAGGUCACGGCUCUGCCGGGGGCCUUGUGUGCACUUGCUAGCAUCGACCAGAGCGUGCUGCUGCUUGAUGCAAGCAAGCGUCUGAGUGCCGAAAAAAUAUUCGAUUUGUUACCGGUCCAAAGAAGUGCGGAGCUGCCAUACUGGAUGGAUGAACCUUCCACAUGCAUGCCUGUCAGAUCGAAACGCUACCUUAGUUAUGACAGAGAAAUAUAUGCUCUAAGUAAUUUUAGGAAUUUGGGACUAAAGACUAUCAGUAAUUUGAUCCUAAGAAUGCCUUCCUGUGUCGUUUUCAAGGGGAGAAACUAUUUCUACCAGCAUGUUAUAGCAAUGUCGAAUACAAUGGACCGACUUUCGAUGAGAGCAGAUGCAAUGCCAUUGAUGCCCGAAUUGCCACCACUGGAGACCAAAAGGACGUUCUUCCCUGAGACUUGGAUCUGGGAUCUUGUAGAAGUGGGGGACUCUGGCUCUGCCAGAGUGUCCCGUGUCGUCCCAGACACUAUCACCACCUGGGAGACGGAUGCGUUCUGCUUGUCCCAAGCCGGGCUGGGCCUGGCCCCCCCACUUAACCUCACAGUCUUCCAGCCCUUUUUUCUGGAGGUUACCUUGCCCUACUCCAUCGUCCGCGGGGAGAACUUUGAGCUGAAAGCCACUGUCUUCAACUACUUGCCUACGUGCAUCAUGGUCGCCGUGACCGCUGCACCUUCCACGGAUUACACAUUACAGGCCUGCGCUGGCUGCCAGUAUUCCUCCUGCCUGUGUGCCUCCGAGAGAAAGACCUUCCAGUGGGUUCUGGUGCCCUCAGCCCUCGGUGCUGUGAAUGUGUCCAUCAGUGCGGAGGCCAGUUCCACAGAAAUCUUAUGCAAUAACGAGGUGGUGCGUGUACCAGAUAGGGGUCGCAUCGACCGGGUCACGCGCACCCUGCUGGUCAAGGCUGAAGGAACAGAAAAGACUGACAGUCAGAGCUGGCUGCUAUGUCCGAGUGGAAAAGAAAUCAAUGAGUCUGUGCAGCUGCAGCUGCCUGAGAAUGUUGUGGAAGGAUCAACCCGUGUCACAUUCUCUGUCCUGGGGGACAUACUAGGCCACGCGCUGCAGAAUCUGGAGAACCUGCUGAGGAUGCCCUACGGCUGCGGUGAGCAGAACAUGGUCCUCCUGGCCCCCAACAUCUACCUUCUGCAUUACCUGCAAGCCACGAACCAGCUGACCCCGGCAAUCCAAGAGAAGGCCACAGGAUUCCUGAAGAGCGGUUACCAGAGGCAGCUGAAUUACAAGCAUCAUAAUGGCGCAUUCAGCACCUUUGGCUCAGGAUCUGGAAACAACUGGCUGACCGCCUUCGUAGCCAAGUCUUUUUCCAGUGCCCAGGAGUUCAUCUACAUCGAGCCCAAACAAAUGAAGGAGGCACAUUCCUGGCUGCUCACGACGCAGAAACCAGACGGAUGCUUUUUGACUGUGGGGAAGCUUUUCAACAACAGAAUGAAGGGUGGAGUGGGCGAUGACGUGACACUCACUGCUUACAUCACUGCGGCCUUCCUGGAGAGUAAGAUGUCACCCCAGGACGCUGCUGUAAACCGUAGCCUGGCCUGUCUGAGGUCAGACAGCAGCUACCUGACGAACACCUACACCACGGCCCUGUUGGCCUAUACCUUCAGCCUGGCUGGAGAUCAGGAGAAACGUGCCCAGUUGCUGGACCACCUGAAGAAAAUCGCCUCAGAUAAAGAAGGCGGGCUGCACUGGUCCCAGUCAUCUUCUGAGAAGUCCGAGGCCCUCUCUGUGGAGAUCAGUUCCUACGUGCUCCUAGCUAUACUCACCACAUCUCCACUGACCUCCACCGACUUGGGUUAUGCCACCAAAAUAGUCCAGUGGCUAGUGAGGCAGCAGAACGAGUACGGUGGCUUCUCAUCCACACAGGUAACUACAUACAGGUAACCCCCACCACAUGGGUAACUACAUACAGGUAACCUUCACCACACAGGUAACCCCCACCACAUGGGUAACUACAUACAGGUAACCUUCACCACACAGGUAACCCCCACCACAUGGGUAACUACAUACAGGUAACCUUCACCACACAGGUAACCCCCACCACAUGGGUAACUACAUACAGGUAACCUUCACCACACAGGUAACCCCCACCACAUGGGUAACUACAUACAGGUAACCUUCACCACACAGGUAACCCCCACCACAUGGGUAACUACAUACAGGUAACCUUCACCACACAGGUAACCCCCACCACAUGGGUAACUACAUACAGGUAACCUUCACCACACAGGUAACCCCCACCACAUGGGUAACUACAUACAAGUAACCUUCACCACACAGGUAACCCCCACCACAUGGGUAACUACAUACAGGUAACCUUCACCACACAGGUAACCCCCACCACAUGGGUAACUACAUACAGGUAACCUGCUCCACACAGGUAACCCCCACCACAUGGGUAACUACAUACAGGUAACCUUCACCACACAGGUAACCCCCACCACAUGGGUAACUACAUACAGGUAACCUUCACCACACAGGUAACCCCCACCACAUGGGUAACUACAUACAGGUAACCUUCACCACACAGGUAACUCCAACCACAUGGGUAACUACAUACAGGUAACCUUCACCACACAGGUAACUCCAACCACAUGGGUAACUACAUACAGGUAACCUUCACCACAUACAGGUAACCCCCACCACAUGGAUAACCACAUACAGAUAACCUGCUCCACACAGGUAACCCCCCACCACACAGGUGCAUUGAGCUGAAUGUCCCAACAAUAUAAUAAAUACCUGUUUUUUGACAUUGUGCUGACCAUUUUCAGGUCCCCACAAAGAUUUGUGAAUGCAAAUAAAAAAGUAAAAAUGCCAAAAGUCUCGUAUUUUGUUUAGUUACUUAGAGUUAAAGUUAAGGCUGAUUAGUGGUUAUGGUAAUUAUGUUGGGAUUAGAAUUUCCCGCUUAGGAAUGAAUGGAGGGUCCCCACAGAGAUAUAAUUACAAACCUGUGUAUGUGUGUGUGUGUGUGGUACAGUGUCAUUCCCUUGAGCCAUGCAGUCUGUGUAGUUUUCGUGUAUAAUACGCCAUGAG